GACGAACGCUGGCGGCGUGCUUAACACAUGCAAGUCGAACGGAAAGGCCCUGCUUGCAGGGUACUCGAGUGGCGAACGGGUGAGUAACACGUGGGUGAUCUGCCCUGCACUUCGGGAUAAGCCUGGGAAACUGGGGCUAAUACCGGAUAGGAGCCAUUUUGAGUGUGAUGGUUGGAAAGUUUUUUCGGUGUAGGAUGAGCUCGCGGCCUAUCAGGUUGUUGGUGGGGUAAUGGCCUACCAAGGCGGCGACGGGUAGCCGGCCUGAGAGGGUGGACGGCCACAUUGGAACUGAGAUACGGCCCAGACUCCUACGGGAGGCAGCAGUGGGGAAUAUUGCACAAUGGGCGCAAGCCUGAUGCAGCGACGCCGCGUGGGGGAUGACGGCCUUCGGGUUGGAAACUCCUUUCGCUAGGGACGAAGCUUUUUGUGACGGUACCUAGAUAAGAAGCACCGGCUAACUACGUG
RNAcentral lists this ribosomal RNA (465 nucleotides) under uncultured bacterium. RNAcentral describes it as "partial 16S ribosomal RNA". It matches the Rfam family "Bacterial small subunit ribosomal RNA", at positions 28 to 507 of the family's 1533-position model. The record is from RNAcentral.